GAUCCAGAAUAAUAAAGUGCAUGCUUAAUUAUCAGGAAAAGUAGAAUCAAGAAGUUUGUUAACUCAAUCCUGCAUAAUGAUUAGUGAGUUAUUCUUCUUUUAUAAACUCUUUUCUCACAGUUUCCAGUAUGUGGGGUAUUGUGCACAUUACUUGAUAAUCUUCACCAUUGGGGCAGCCAUUGGGUGAUAUGACCAUAAUCACAGACACCAUUGGACAGGUGGGCCAAUGGGUCGAGUGGUAAAGUACUGUGGGUAGAUUGGUUGAUAUCAGAAACAUUGUAAAAGAUCUUACCACUGUGAAUUAUAAUAAAUGUGUCAUUUUCCAAUAACUAGAAUAAUUCACUCAGUAUUUCCCGCUGACAAAACCCUUUUAAAACACGUUUCAGGUAAUUACAGUAGAUUGGAGUAAGGAGUGGAUCCGACACUGAAAGACUUCAAGAAGUGGCUUAUUUUAUUAAUUAAAUCAAAUUAAGAAAUAUUGUUUUUAUUAAAAGCUACCUUUGUAACAAUGGAGUUUAUUCCAUCUAUUUAAAUAAAAUCCGGUGUUUCUAAACUCUUAUAUUUUUCCUAACUCACGGUCCUGAUGAAAUUUCCGCUGCAAUGUUUUUCAAAAUAAUCACCGGUACCACUGGACUGCUCGCGGCUCCCGAUUCCGUCCAGGGUGGGGUCGGGGGUCGUGACAGUAAAGGUGGUAUCAGAGCUAAGCCACUACUUUAAGCCUAUAAGUGUUGUGAUAACAAUACUUAAGCUUAAAUAAAAGAGUUAGGAGAUUGCCAUUAACUUAACUGGUAGCACAUCUGAUAGCAUUUAGACUUGAACAUAAGUAAAGAUGCCUUAGUAUAAGCUAAGCCACUUGUUUACGCAAUUAGGUGUUAUAAUAAUACCUAAGUUUAAAACGGAAAAUUAGAAGCUUAAUAUUAUCUGAUAGCACUCCGGAUGAUAUUUAGACUUGAACUUAAGAAUUUUGCCUUAAAUAAACUUUUAGAUAAAUUACUUAUAUAAGUACAAUGUAAUGGAUAUUGGUAUUCCAUAAAAAUGACGAUUAACAGGUAAUAGCAUUUAAUUGCUAUUUAUUCUUGUUUAUUGAUAUUACUUGAUCUAGAAUAAAGAUAUGCUAUGAAAAUACAAAUUUCCUUUAUUCUGGAUAAAAGCCCUAAAGAGGCACUGUUAAAAUCUUGAAAAGAUAUUAUUUAUGGGAAAUAGAAAAUUUCUCCGGCAAAACUGGGUAUAGAGUAACAGACUCUCCAGCCUGUCCGGAUAUACUGAGAUUACCUCUCCGGCGCGAACCGGAUAAGACGAGGUACAUAGUAUGUCAAACAAGUGACAAGAUUUCCCUAAAUAAUAUCAUGAUUGGAUAUCUGAUUUGUUUUGGAAAUAUGAAUCUAUUAAAUACAUUGACCUGAUAAAUGGUAUGUUUAUUUCAGCAUGUGAAAUAUGUAAUUAUAUAAAUAUGUAUAUCUAUAAGGAAUUCCAAAAGUCGAUUAGGAAUAAAACACAAGCAUAUAUAGAUUUCUUUAUUAGGAAUCUCUUUUCCGAUAUCAAACAUUAUUUCGUUUGAUUAUUUGUCUCGUAGUUCGUGUGACAAAAUAAACAAUGGAAACUCUAUAAAUUGGAACACCAUCAAAAAUAUAUACCAAUGCGUUACCAUAAAUUAUUAACGCCAUAAAUAUAAACUCAAAUAAGAAGCAUGUAAGAUUUUGUUGGUGCACAAGAAAACACAUGAAACUUAAAUUAUAUGUCCACAGACGUUGAAGUUUAGCACCCACGAUUUUCCAAGGCAAGACCUUUGAAAAAUAUAAAUUGGGUACGAUGACACCAAUGUUAAAAAUUCUGUCAGUAAGAAGAACUACUAAUCAAAAAGCGGCACUUUGCCACAUGAACUUACAAACGAUCAAAAUCUCACUGGGGUACGUUGGAACAACAUUUCACAAAACAUCGGUGCAUAGUCUAACCUGAGUCAUAAUUAUUAGCACUACAAAAGAAGUCAUAUAUUUUUGCAAAUCCCCGAUUUCAUUUCACUUCAUUCGACAUUCUCUGAUAAUGUCAUUUAACAAAUAGUUAUCACACGAAAUUCCAGAUAAGAAGUUCUUAUAUUUCUUUCGUUGCAAUUCUGACUUCUGCAUAUAAAAAGUUGACUUUCGCAUUUCUGCUUCCUCUAAUAGUCAUCAUAUCAUAAGGAUUUCUUUAGCGAAUAUUGAUCUAUUUCAAUUCUUGGUAAAUCCACACGUUACGCAUGCUCUGUUUGUUGCGAGUAUGAUUCGCUUGCUUUAUGAAGACCACUGGAGGACUUCAUUCGAUUUAUCAAAACUCAAAUAUCAUUUCGCUUUUUGCACUAUGAAUCACAUUAUUGUAAAACAGUGACUCUUUGAUAUCGAGUUAAUGAAUUUUGUUAACCCAUUGAGG
This 2403-nucleotide long non-coding RNA is filed under the name Helianthus annuus (common sunflower). RNAcentral's name for it is "hypothetical non coding rna". Lineage: Eukaryota; Viridiplantae; Streptophyta; Magnoliopsida; Asterales; Asteraceae. The record is from RNAcentral.